UCCCUGGUGGCUCAGCGGUGAAGUAUUUGCCUGCAAUGCAGGACACUCAGGUUCAAUCCCUGGGUUGGGAA
Molecule: transfer RNA, 71 nt
Filed under: Bos taurus (domestic cattle)
Lineage: Eukaryota; Metazoa; Chordata; Mammalia; Artiodactyla; Bovidae
Rfam family: tRNA
About the family: Transfer RNA (tRNA) molecules are approximately 80 nucleotides in length. Their secondary structure includes four short double-helical elements and three loops (D, anti-codon, and T loops). Further hydrogen bonds mediate the characteristic L-shaped molecular structure. tRNAs have two regions of fundamental functional importance: the anti-codon, which is responsible for specific mRNA codon recognition, and the 3' end, to which the tRNAs corresponding amino acid is attached (by aminoacyl-tRNA synthetases). tRNAs cope with the degeneracy of the genetic code in two manners: having more than one tRNA (with a specific anti-codon) for a particular amino acid; and 'wobble' base-pairing, i.e. permitting non-standard base-pairing at the 3rd anti-codon position.
Source: Rfam by way of RNAcentral